AUGACGGAGAAGGGAAUGGGCCGUGGGGCCGGGGGCUUGGGGGGGGGGGGGGCGCAAGGGGAGUGGGUUGGUGCCCCGGGGUCCGGCGGGGCGUGCCCCCUCUCCCGUCCCCCCUCGGCCGCCGGGCGGUCCCCGGGGGGAGGCCGCCCCGCGGUGCCACCCGCGCCCAGACGGUCACGCUCGCUCCCGCAGCCCCGCGCCCGGACUCGGCGGCGGGCGGGCCCGGGACCGGCCCGGGGCUCCGGCGGCGGCGGGGUCCCCCGGCCGGCCCCGCGGGGAUCCCCCGCCGUUCAGGGGGAGCCCACUCCUCGGAGCGCUCUUCGCCGCCGACGCCUCCCCGGACGAAGACGACGCCAGCGACCUCACCCACGGCUUCGGCCACAUCCUCUGUGGGAAUCCUAUCAAGGCCCUUCACGAGCGACGGCAGAAACUGAAGCCGCCGCCGCCGUGCCGUCCCUUCUCGGCCGGCCCCGAGAAGCCCCCGGAGCAGGAGGAGGAGGAGGAGGACGCCCCGGAGGACCCCCCGGAGGAGGAGGCCCCGGCGGAGGAGGCCCCGGAGGAGCCGCGCGGCCCCGGGCACGUGGUCGCCCGGCUCCAGGCCCGGCGGCGACGGCGCUGGCGGUGAGGGCGGGGCCGAGCACGUGGCUCGGGGGCGAGAGCCCGGGCCUGCGAGUCGGAGGGCACGGGUUCUAAUCCCCACCCCGCCGCCUGUCUGCUGGGUGACCUCGGGCGACCCACUUUGCGUCUCUGGGCCUCGGUUCCCUCAUCUGUCAGAUGGGGAUGAAGACCGGGAGCCCCACGGCGGACAACCUGAUCGGCUUGUGUCUACCCCGGGACUUAGAACAGUGUUUGGCACAUAGGGAGCGCUUAACACGGGGCUCGGUGGAAAGAGCGUGGGGUUUGGAGUCAGAGGCCAUGGGUUCGAAUCCCAGCUCUGCCACUUGUCAGCCGGGUGACUGUGGGCGAGUCACUUCGCUUCUCUGGGCCUCGGUGACCUCACCUGGAAAAUGGGGAUGGAGACCGGGAGCCCCGCGGGGGACGACCCGAUUCCCCUGCGUCUCCCCCGGCGCUUAGAACGGCACAUAGUAAGCGCUUAACGGAUGCCAACGUUAUCAUUAACAAAUGCCGUCAUUAUUUUUUCGAAAAGCAGCGUGGCUUAGCGGCAAGAGCCCGGUCUUGGGAGUCGGAGGUCGUGGGUUCAAAUGCCGGCUCCGCCCCUAGUCUGCUGGGUGACCUUGGGUGAGCCGCUUCAUUUCUCUGGGGUUCAGUUAACUCAUCGGGAAAAUGGGGAUUAAAAGCGUGAGCCCCACGUGGGACAACCCGAUUCCCCUGUAUCUACCCCGGCGUUUAGAACGGUGCUUGGCAUGUAGUAAGCUCUUAACAAAUACCACUAUUAUUAUUAUUAUUAUUAUUAUUAUUAUCAUCGUUGAUCUCUGGGCCUCAGUUCCCUCAUCUAUAGAACGGGGACGAAGACCGUGAGCCCCACGUGGGGCAACGUGCUUACCUCGCAUCUACCCCAGGGCCUAGAACAGUGCUUAGCACGUAAUAAGCGCUUAACAAAUACCACAAUUCUGAUUCUUCUCCGCGCCUCAGUUCCCUCAUCGGUCAAAUGGGGAUGAAGACUGGGAGCCCCUCGGGGAGCAACCUCAUUACCUGGCGUCUACUCCAGACGCUUAGAACAGUGCUUGGCACACAGUAAGCGCUGAACAAAUGCCAUCACAAUAAUAAUAAUAAUACUGGUCAUCAUUAUUAGGAUUGGGCCAGCCCCGGGACAGACAGGCCCGGGGUGAUGGACGGCUCUGGGGGCGGGGCCCGUGGUGAUGGAUGUGUCCGGGGGCGGGGCCCGUGGUGAUGGACGUGUCUGGGGGCGGGGUCUGACUUGAUGGACGUGUCUAGGGGCGAGGUCUGACUUGAUGGACGUGUCUAGGGGCGGGGUCUGACUUGAUGGACGUGUCUAGGGGCGGGGGGUCUGACUUGAUGGACGUGUCUGGGGGCGGGGCCUGUGGUGAUGGACGUGUCCUGGGAUGGGGCCUGUGGUGAUGGACGUGUCUGGGGGCGGGGUCUGACUUGAUGGACGUGUCUAGGGGUGAGGUCUGACUUGAUGGACGUGUCUAGGGGCGGGGUCUGACUUGAUGGACGUGUCUAGGGGCGAGGUCUGACUUGAUGGACGUGUCCAGGGUCGGGGCCUGUGGUGACGGACGUGUUUUGGGGCGGGGCCUGGCUUGAUGGACGUGUCCGGGGGGGGG
This 2246-nucleotide long non-coding RNA is filed under the name Ornithorhynchus anatinus (platypus). Its description in RNAcentral is "lncRNA (ENSOANG00000040711.1)". The record is from RNAcentral. Lineage: Eukaryota; Metazoa; Chordata; Mammalia; Monotremata; Ornithorhynchidae.